This 254-nucleotide ribosomal RNA is filed under the name uncultured bacterium. RNAcentral's name for it is "partial 16S ribosomal RNA". It matches the Rfam family "Bacterial small subunit ribosomal RNA", at positions 524 to 777 of the family's 1533-position model. The record is from RNAcentral.
UACGGAGGGUGCGAGCGUUGCUCGGAAUCACUGGGCGUAAAGCGCACGUAGGCGGCUUUUUAAGUCAGGGGUGAAAUCCUGGAGCUCAACUCCAGAACUGCCUUUGAUACUGAGAAGCUUGAGUCCGGGAGAGGUGAGUGGAACUGCGAGUGUAGAGGUGAAAUUCGUAGAUAUUCGCAAGAACACCAGUGGCGAAGGCGGCUCACUGGCCCGGUACUGACGCUGAGGUGCGAAAGCGUGGGGAGCAAACAGGG